ACUGGCCCGUAGCCAGGGGGGAUCGGAGGGUUCGUUCGAUCCCCCCCCCGCGACACCGCGCCCCGGACACACACGCCUCAAGAUUACUCAAGAUUUAUUCAUUUGUUCAUGUCCGAUGAAUAUACAUUGAUUCACAUUUAAAUUUACAAUAUCAAAUCCAGACUAAUCAAAAAAGAAAAGUAGACUAAGUGAGGACGAGUUAGAAAAACGGGUUCAUUUCUCCUAUGUUUAUGUUUACACGUUUUGUUCAGACUGCUUUACACCCCAAUCCAGUGGGUGGCGGUAAUGCCCCCAUUAGACCCCUUUCACUGACGUCACCCGAAACCGGAAGUAAACAAACCCUGCGCCACAUUGGAAGACCAACAAACUCGUGAUUUGGGGGAAAUAAAGGCAGCGCGCGGUAUGUGAACCCACGAGGCACUUGGUUCAUCAUAAACCUACAAUGGUAAACUUUUGUGCUGUGUUAGGGUGUUCUAACAAAGCUGAUGGGAAAGGUGAAAAGAAGUCUUUCUACAGAAUACCAGCUGUGAUUGAGACACAAGCAAACCAAGGAGCUUUCUGCCAGGAGACAGAGAGAGGAUUUAGCUGCUUUAUGCAGAGCGGAUCUGAAUACUUCAAGUCUAUUUUGUUACUGGUCUGCGCCGCAGGAGGAAUAGGCCACAAUUAUAAAUAAAUCAUAAAAUGUUUCUAAGAA
Molecule: long non-coding RNA, 694 nt
Organism: Neoarius graeffei (lesser salmon catfish)
Lineage: Eukaryota; Metazoa; Chordata; Actinopteri; Siluriformes; Ariidae
Exons: 2
Source: RefSeq, a predicted model, not a curated record